This is a transfer RNA of Phialocephala subalpina, 73 nucleotides long. It matches the Rfam family "tRNA". Rfam says of the family: Transfer RNA (tRNA) molecules are approximately 80 nucleotides in length. Their secondary structure includes four short double-helical elements and three loops (D, anti-codon, and T loops). Further hydrogen bonds mediate the characteristic L-shaped molecular structure. tRNAs have two regions of fundamental functional importance: the anti-codon, which is responsible for specific mRNA codon recognition, and the 3' end, to which the tRNAs corresponding amino acid is attached (by aminoacyl-tRNA synthetases). tRNAs cope with the degeneracy of the genetic code in two manners: having more than one tRNA (with a specific anti-codon) for a particular amino acid; and 'wobble' base-pairing, i.e. permitting non-standard base-pairing at the 3rd anti-codon position. Lineage: Eukaryota; Fungi; Ascomycota; Leotiomycetes; Helotiales; Mollisiaceae. The record is from Rfam.
AGCAUGGUAUCUCAGCAGGAAGAGCGAUGGGCUCAUAACCCAUAGGUCCCCGGAUCGAGACCAGGUCGUGCUA